This 425-nucleotide ribosomal RNA is filed under the name uncultured bacterium. Its description in RNAcentral is "partial 16S ribosomal RNA". It matches the Rfam family "Bacterial small subunit ribosomal RNA", at positions 354 to 796 of the family's 1533-position model. The record is from RNAcentral.
GUGGGGAAUAUUGGACAAUGGGCGCAAGCCUGAUCCAGCCAUGCCGUGUGAGUGAUGAAGGCCUUCGGGUUGUAAAGCUCUUUCACCGAUGAAGAUAAUGACGGUAGUCGGAGAAGAAGCCCCGGCUAACUUCGUGCCAGAUGCCGCGGUUAUACGAGGGGUGCAAGCGUUAUACGGAGUCAUUGGGUUUAAAGGGUGCGUAGGCGGAGCGUUAAGUCAGUGGUGAAAUCCUGCAGCUUAACUGUAGACUUGCCAUUUAUACUGGCGCUCUUGAGUGCGCUUGAAGUGGGCGGAAUGUGCCGUGUAGCGGUGAAAUGCUUAGAUAUGGCACAGAACACCAAUUGCGAAGGCAGCUCACUAAGGCGAUACUGACGCUGAGGCACGAAAGCGUGGGGAUCGAACAGGAUUAGAUACCCCAGUAGUCC